Molecule: ribosomal RNA, 468 nt
Filed under: uncultured bacterium
Lineage: Bacteria
Description: partial 16S ribosomal RNA
Rfam family: Bacterial small subunit ribosomal RNA
Source: RNAcentral
GACGAACGCUGGCGGCGUGCUUAACACAUGCAAGUCGAACGGAAAGGCCCUGCUUUUGUGGGGUGCUCGAGUGGCGAACGGGUGAGUAACACGUGAGUAACCUGCCCUUGACUUUGGGAUAACUUCAGGAAACUGGGGCUAAUACCGGAUAGGAGCUCCUGCUGCAUGGGGGGGGUUGGAAAGUUUCGGCGGUGGGGGAUGGACUCGCGGCUUAUCAGCUUGUUGGUGGGGUAGUGGCUUACCAAGGCUUUGACGGGUAGCCGGCCUGCGAGGGUGACCGGCCACCUUGGGACUGCGAUACGGCCCAGACUCCUACGGGCGGCAGCAGUGGGGAAUAUUGCACAAUGGGCGGAGGCCUGAUGCAGCAACGCCGCGUGCGGGAUGACGGCCUUCGGGUUGUAAACCGCUUUCGCCUGUGACGAAGCGUGAGUGACGGUAAUGGGUAAAGAAGCACCGGCUAACUACGUG